CGGCGGGGCAGCGGGAAGGGAGGCCCCGGGCCCGGGAGGGCUCCGAGGGCGAGCCGGCCCCGCACGCGGGGUCGCCGCGCUGAGCCCGGUCUGAUGGCGGCGGUGGCUGGGGCUCGGUGCGGUUUACGCGGCGGUGUGUUCGGCUGAAGGGAGAUUUAAAGAUCUGUAAUGAAGUCUCACGCUCGGCUGCUCGGGCGCUUAUGGAAAAGCGAUUGGCCGGGUCCGAUAAAUCAAUCCUGCUCCUCCAGCCUCUGUCCCAUUCGUUUCUGUGCUCCAGAAUUUUCUCCCUUGCGGAAGGAACCACAUCUAACCGGGUGCCGCUUGGAAACGCAUCGUGCCAGAAGCCACCGUGCUAAUUAUAGAUUAAUGGGAGGGGACACCGCGCAGCACCCUCAGCGCCGUGACUCGCUGGCAGCAGGCUUUGCUCGGCGAGGUGAGGUUAAAGGCACGGGAAGCGGGCUGGGAGCUCCGAGCUCUGCACCCCCGCCCGGCCCCGCAGAGGCUUAACAACCUGCGCACGUUCCCUUUAUUUGUGUUCGUACCGAGGAGCUGAGCCGAGCCUCGAGUCACCCGCGAAGGAAGAGCACAGUUAGUUGUCGUUGUAUUCGUUCCGAUUUAUAAAUAAUGUUUCUGGCUUCGCAUUGUUCAAAGUUUAAUUUAAAAACGUUUAAAAAUUAGCCCUCGAACUACGUGCUGGAUUGCAGCCAGACACGGUGCUGCUGCUCCUUGGGACUCCGGAAAUACCCGAAAGGACCGGGAGGGAAACCGAGAGCUCCCACCCGGUUAGCUGGGAUGGAAGCGCGGCGCUACGGCUUCAGCCUUUCACGUUUUAAUUGUUCUGAACCGGCGGGGUAUUUCACAGAACCAGCACGUCAAUGGUGGGAGCAAUCACACCUACUGGAGGAGGAUGUCGUGGUUUUUGAUUUCCUCUCUGCCUCGCACACAAACCGCCACAUUUCUGGAUCUGUCUGUGUACACGCGCAUAGAAAAUUGGGGGUGGCUGCAUAUCGCACGCACACGUACAUAAAUUUCUCUAAUAUGUUUCUACGUUCAGGGGCCGGAUCAGCAGCAAAUAAAUGUUCCCUGAUUUAGAGCA
RNAcentral lists this long non-coding RNA (1096 nucleotides) under Numida meleagris (helmeted guineafowl). Its description in RNAcentral is "lncRNA (ENSNMEG00000006048.1)". The record is from RNAcentral. Lineage: Eukaryota; Metazoa; Chordata; Aves; Galliformes; Numididae.